CUGAAGUGCUGCUUUUACUGGAAAUGCUGAAUAAUCUGAUUUUUUCCUCAAGGCUGGAUGCAUGGGCUACAGAGAGAGAGAGAGACAGAGUGUGUGUGUGUGUGUGUGCGUGUUUGUGUUUGUGUGUGUUAAUGAGGCUGUUUUACUUUCAGCUGCCUGAUGGAUCUAAAUCGAGUGUGCUGCAGAGCCCAAGUGAAGCCACACCCUCACCACAGCAACUCGCUCCGGAAAAAGGAGGGUUUUUUGGUCGGUAUUUCCCUCUGGGUCAGAAGAAGCGUCUCACUCCUCAGGACGGAAACGUGACGAUGGCCAGGACCCUCGCCGAGAGAGAAGAGUGUAACAGCACUCAGCUUUACUCUGUCUAUCUGUCUGUCUAUCUGUCUAUUAUGUCUAUGGUGUUGUUAUUUAUUUUGUGUGUAUGUUGUGAUUGAUCUGUAGUUAAGAGGUCGGACAGUAACUCCCCCACGUCGGCGUCUCCGUCCUCACUGGCCAAGCGGAAACGUCAGAGUAUUAGGAUCAGCCGCGGGACACAAAUAAGGGAGCAGAGUAACGCCACACUCAACCGCCAGAUCACCGACACAACAGAACUGCGCCACCAUCGACGAGUUCCUGGGAAAUCAGGUGUGUGUGUGUGUGUGUGUGUGUGUGUGUGUGUGUUUGGGUGUGUACUGACUUAUUCUGCAAUCAGAUCCUGGACACUUGGUAAUGUUUGGCACGUGUUUUGUGCCUGUUUGCGUGUUUGGUGCGUUGUUUGUGGUUGGUGUGUGUUUGGUGUGUGUUUGUGUGUUUGGUGUGUUUGUGGUGUGUGUUUGGUGUGUGUUUGUGUGUUUGGUGUGUGUUUGGUGUGUGUUUGUGUGUUUGGUGCGUGUUUGUGUGUUUGGUGUGUGUUUGGUGUGUGUUUGUGUGUUUGGUGUGUGUUUGUGUGUUUGGUGCGUGUUUGUGUGUUUGUGUGUUUGUGUGUUUGGUGUGUGUUUGGUGCGUGUUUGUGUGUUUGGUGUGUGUUUGGUGCGUGUUUGGUGUGUGUUUGUGUGUUUGGUGUGUGUUUGGUGUGUGUUUGUGUGUUUGGUGUGUGUUUGGUGUGUGUUUGUGUGUUUGGUGCGUGUUUGGUGUGUGUUUGUGUGUUUGGUGUGUGUUUGUGUGUUUGGUGCGUGUUUGGUGUGUGUUUGUGUGUUUGGUGCGUGUUUGUGUGUUUGGUGUGUGUUUGUGUGUUUGGUGUGUGUUUGUGUGUUUGUGUGUUGUGUGUUUGGUGUGUGUUUGUGUGUUUGGUGUGUGUUUGGUGUGUGUUUGUGUGUUUGGUGUGUGUUGGUGUGU
Molecule: long non-coding RNA, 1311 nt
Organism: Ictalurus punctatus (channel catfish)
Lineage: Eukaryota; Metazoa; Chordata; Actinopteri; Siluriformes; Ictaluridae
Source: Ensembl